This 22-nucleotide microRNA is filed under the name Tupaia belangeri chinensis (Chinese tree shrew). RNAcentral's name for it is "Tupaia chinensis (Chinese tree shrew) tch-miR-9771p". Lineage: Eukaryota; Metazoa; Chordata; Mammalia; Scandentia; Tupaiidae. The record is from miRBase by way of RNAcentral.
AAUAUGUCAACUUUUCCAGUGA